Molecule: long non-coding RNA, 385 nt
Organism: Cygnus olor (mute swan)
Lineage: Eukaryota; Metazoa; Chordata; Aves; Anseriformes; Anatidae
Exons: 4
Source: RefSeq, a predicted model, not a curated record
CCCGCGCCCCGUCGAGGACGCACUGCAGCAGGCGGCCCUCCCGCUGCGCUCGGAGCCAGCCCUGCGGGCACAGGGCUGUCAGCGGCCGCACCGGGAACCGAGCACCGGGAACCGGGAACCAGAUACUGGUGUGGUUGAAGUCUCCCAUGAGGACCAGGACCUGUGAACAUGAAGUUGCUCUUUCCUGUCUGCAGAGGAAACAAACUGAAUAAAGAAUUCAGUGUAUUGCCAAAGACGUUCUACUGCAAACUCUGAACACUAUGAAAAAGCUUUUAACUUUGAAGGAACAAGUGAGUGCCUGAGCAACCACUGGCCUGAACACAAUCAUACAAGAGGCAAAGUGUACAUCCUGAGCAUUCAAUCAUUCACUCAUGCCUGUGUUCAG